AGGGGGGUGGGAGCUGAGCAGAUAGACAGAGGGAUGUAAAAUGGGUUAGAAUCAAUAGGUAGCAAGGAGAAAAGUAAACGUGGCAGGCAGACAAAUCCAGGGCAAAAA
This is a long non-coding RNA of Amblyraja radiata (thorny skate), 108 nucleotides long. RefSeq lists it as uncharacterized. The transcript is spliced from 3 exons. NCBI's taxonomy places the organism in Eukaryota, Metazoa, Chordata, Chondrichthyes, Rajiformes, Rajidae. The record is from RefSeq and is a predicted model, not a curated record.